This is a long non-coding RNA of Amphiprion ocellaris (clown anemonefish), 2088 nucleotides long. RefSeq lists it as uncharacterized. NCBI's taxonomy places the organism in Eukaryota, Metazoa, Chordata, Actinopteri, Pomacentridae. The record is from RefSeq and is a predicted model, not a curated record. The transcript is spliced from 3 exons.
AUUGGUCAGACCAUAGAGCUACAGAGGAGACAGCGUGCUAGCGUAUCUAGUCUUCUAUCUGUAGCUGUGGUCGGCUCGUCUGGUAGCAUCUCUGGUUGCUGUUGAUCUUGUUUUUGGAGUAAAACACGGUGGAAGCUGAAUUAGUGAGGAUGACUCCUGCUCCUGUCAUCUCUAAGCUCCUCACACAUCUUUACCUGCACAUGAGGAAAAUCACUCCUGUAGAAUGCAGAUGUUCAGAGGGAGAUGAUGCCACAUCUGGUCCAGCUGAUGGAAGGUCUUGAAGUUCUCUGACUGGCCUCGACUGAAGAUGGUCCUCUCACUGGAUUUAAGGUUCAGAUGCUCAGUAAUAAACUCCACCAAUGAGCCAACAGGGAAGCUUUAGGUUUAUUAAAUGUUGCUCUGAAGGUAUCGCUGUUUUUCUUUGUGAAUGCAAUGUGCUCCAACUGAAACUUGAAUUAGAACUUAGAAGUAAAUCCUUCCAUCUGAAAGGGUUUACUUGCAUUAAAACCUCAUAACAUUCAAAUUUUUAUUCCAGUCUUGGUUGGAAAUAGAAUCUCUGUAUUGAUUCAGGUAAAAACUGAACUUCACAGCAUGUUGGAGCAAAACAACCAGAUGAAAACUGUGAUGGUGUUGGAUUGUCAGACCGUAAUGUUGCAGCUCAAAGCAGCUUUUCUAGCUCAGUUCAUUCUGAGAUUCAGCUAUGAAUCAACACAGCAGAUGGUGAUCCAUGCUGUGGAAGUCUCACAUCUCCUGAUUUAAUGGAGCUGCUUUACACUUUUUACACUGUUUAUUCACCAACACUUUAUUUUAUGAAAGUCCCAUCUAGUUUUUAUGAGGAAUGUGAUGUUUUAAUUUCUCUGUGAAUAACUGCAGUCUAAUGUAACAGCUGGAAUUGCAACAUCUGUCCUGAUAUUGAUCAUGAAGUAUUGAUCAGAAUACUUAUGGUUAGCAGUCGUCCCUGAAGUUUUACAUUAAAAUCUUUACUUGUGUUGUGAACUUUAGUAAGAAGCAAAAACUUUAGCGUUGCCAUGGACACGAGUGUUAAAUUCUGUCCAAAAUUUAUGACUCUGCACUACAAUAUUAUUUAUUAUUUAAAUGUACAUCAUUAUUACAAUAUUUAGGGUCAGACCUUACAGUAUUGAGAUUAAGAAAUCAAAUAUUCUUUAAAAUGUAAUUACACUGAACUCAUUUGGAUAUAUUUAAGUGAGACUACAGUAUUGUAGUAAAUCUAUCUAAAUCAAAAUUUUAAUAAUUUUCAUGCCAAACAUUUACUGGACUGAUUUAAACAUUAAAAGCACUCCUUUCUAAUCCUCUGCUGUACGUUCAAACCUGAGGCCUUAAAUCAAAACACAAGUAUCUGAUUGAAGGAACUUCUGCAGAGUCCUGGUUCCAGAACAUGAUGAUAGAAUUAUAGACAAACUUUAACAAAAGCUUCCUGAGAGUUUACAGGUUUUUAUGUUAGAUUUCUUUAGUAAUUUAAUGAGUUAUCAGCAAAAAUCAAGUGUUCAUUUGAUGAACUUCAUUUCCUAAAACAUCCAGAAUUGGAGCUCAUAUCUUUGGCAGCUGGAAAGUUUCUGCUCCUUCAAAGUUCACAACACAAUGAAUGAAUUCCUAAAACACUCUCAAUGCUGGAGAGCGUUUGUGAUGCUGAAGCAGUGAUCAGUUUUUCUGUUUCUUCUCUGGAGAUGCACAAUGAGGGACGUCUGCAACGACUGAGAAAGAGUCUCACCACAUCCUGACAUGAGGAAAAAGACUUUUUUGAAGACUACAAUGAGAAAAACUAUCAGACAGCAGACGGCUGCAUUCAAGGUGAGCUCUGAACAUUUGAUCUGGAACAGGAAUUCAAUAACGGCAGCAUGAGCUUCAUUUCAGUCUGUAGCUGCUGAAUUCAUGGAUGAAUCAUCUGGCACUAGAGAGGAAGACCAUCAAACAUCCACGUCAGCUGAUGGAGGUCCAAGAGUCUCACCCAACAAACAACCUACAGAGUGAAGACCUCGAAUCUGAUUGGACGGCCUCCUAUUCAGCCACGUGUGAACAAAUGCCUCUAAGCUGAUUUGUUUUCUAAAAUAAAUCUAGUUUGAGUCCUAA